AUUUGCCUUUAGGUGGGGGACAACAGUUGGAAACGACUGCUAAUACCGCAUAAUAGCUACGGCUUAAAGGGGGCUUCGGCUCUCGCCUUUAGAGAAGCCCAAAUGGGAUUAGAUAGUUGGUGAGGUAAAGGCUCACCAAGUCAACGAUCCCUAGCUGGUCUGAGAGGAUGAUCAGCCACACUGGAACUGAGACACGGUCCAGACUCCUACGGGAGGCAGCAGUGGGGAAUAUUGCACAAUGGGCGCAAGCCUGAUGCAGCCAUGCCGCGUGUGUGAAGAAGGCCUUCGGGUUGUAAAGCACUUUCAGCGAGGAGGAAAGCUUGGUGGUUAAUACCCAUCAGGUGUGACGUUACUCGCAGAAGAAGGACCGGCUAACUCCGUGCCAGCAGCCGCGGUAAUACGGAGGGUCCGAGCGUUAAUCGGAAUUACUGGGCGUAAAGCGUACGCAGGCGGCCAUUUAAGUCAGAUGUGAAAGCCCCGGGCUCAACCUGGGAACUGCAUUUGAAACUGGAUGGCUAGAGUGCGACAGAGGGUGGUAGAAUUUCAGGUGUAGCGGUGAAAUGCGUAGAGAUCUGAAGGAAUACCAAUGGCGAAGGCAGCCACCUGGGUCGACACUGACGCUCAUGUACGAAAGCGUGGGUAGCAAACAG
Molecule: ribosomal RNA, 650 nt
Filed under: uncultured bacterium
Lineage: Bacteria
Description: bacterial SSU rRNA
Rfam family: Bacterial small subunit ribosomal RNA
Source: RNAcentral